RNAcentral lists this transfer RNA (71 nucleotides) under Ampulex compressa. RNAcentral's name for it is "tRNA-Glu". The record is from RNAcentral. Lineage: Eukaryota; Metazoa; Arthropoda; Insecta; Hymenoptera; Ampulicidae.
UGUUUAUAUAAUUUAAUUAAAAUAAGAUAUUUUCAAUAUUUUUAUGAUAAUAUUAUAUUAUCUAUAAAUAU